CCGGGCCGGGGGCCGGGGCGAGCGCAGCGCCGCGGGGUCCCCUGGCGGGGCUGGCUCGGGCUUCGUCCCCGGACACGCCGAGGCUGCAGUCCCCGUUGGAAACCCCGCCGCUGUCACAGCGCGCCCGCCCGUGGCCGAGGCGACCUCCCCCGCCGCCGCCGCCGCCGCCGCCGCCGCCUUCCUCGCUCUGCCGGCCGCCGCCGCUCCCGCGCCCUCGCCCCCGUCAGCCCGGGUUGUCCGCGCGCCACAGGACGGAAGGAUCCAAUAUUUGGGAGUAUGCUUGAGAAAACAGAGCUUCAGGAAAAGCUGAGAAUGACCUCUCUUUGGCUGACUCAUUCUGACUUUAAAGUAAUAUGUCUUUACAGAACAUGGUGA
Molecule: long non-coding RNA, 375 nt
Filed under: Vulpes vulpes (red fox)
Lineage: Eukaryota; Metazoa; Chordata; Mammalia; Carnivora; Canidae
Description: lncRNA (ENSVVUG00000000230.1)
Source: RNAcentral